AAGUCGUAACAAGGUUUCCGUAGGUGAACCUGCGGAAGGAUCAUUAACACGUAUUCAACGUAAAAAACCCCCUGUGAACAUUCAAACCUGCUCUCGUAGCCCAGUGCGAUCCAGCAAUCCCGGUAAAUCAGUAUUGAUCGGGACUUCUGACAAAUGAGAAGUUACAGUUACGAUUGAGCGGAGAUAGAUGCGUCAUUGAUUGUCUAAGGAUCUCGCCUCAACGAUUGCCAGAGGUCGCUCACCGACCGGCAGACAUGCAACCGGGUCCCCACGCCCCUUUACAACCCCAUUACCUCUGUGAGUCGCGGGAAACUAGCGCUAAAAAACCUCGAACAACUGUUAAUGAUAUCUUGGUUCUC
Molecule: unclassified non-coding RNA, 359 nt
Filed under: fungal sp.
Lineage: Eukaryota; Fungi
Description: partial internal transcribed spacer region
Rfam family: Eukaryotic small subunit ribosomal RNA (bases 1-46)
Source: RNAcentral